UAUUUUGAUACAGCUUCUGACAUCCAUCGUCAAAAUUUGUAAUUACCACGAGAGUUACGGCUUUUCCUUAGUAAUGUUUAUCUAUUUACUUUAAUUGUCUUUUGUAACAGCCAAUCAGUUGGCAAGUGUCUACGGCAAGAGUUUACCUCUUUGGCACUUCAUAGAAGAAUAAAAAUUGACAUCGUACCUACCAAAAUAUCGCUGUCACGUGUCAAAGGGUAUUUUAAUAUUAUGGGUCGACGAUUGUUAAUCUAAUGAAAGAAUGCGAAAUAAAAUUGAGUCCUGUCCAUGUUCCUGAAGAAAAUACAACAAAUAUGAUUAAUUUCUCCCCAAAAGAAAGUCAACAAGCUACAACUUCCUAUAAAUAUCGAGUCAGAAGAAAAUCAAAUUUUUUUCUUAAAAACGGUGUUUGGUGGCUCGUCUUUCUUGGCCUGAGUGGUUCCAUAUUAGCAUUUGUAAUUCUUUUAGCGAAAUUUUUGAGUCAAUUGCAUUAAAUAUAAAAUAAAAGGUUUUUGUUUUCUUCUAUCAUUUCAAUUCCUAUUUUAUUCAUAUUCUUAC
Pieris napi is the source of this 558-nucleotide long non-coding RNA. RefSeq lists it as uncharacterized. NCBI's taxonomy places the organism in Eukaryota, Metazoa, Arthropoda, Insecta, Lepidoptera, Pieridae. The record is from RefSeq and is a predicted model, not a curated record. The transcript is spliced from 3 exons.